This 573-nucleotide long non-coding RNA is filed under the name Mytilus galloprovincialis (Mediterranean mussel). Lineage: Eukaryota; Metazoa; Mollusca; Bivalvia; Mytilida; Mytilidae. The record is from RNAcentral.
GACAUUUAGAGGUCAAUAUAUAUAUGGAUUUUGACCGAUGUUUAAAUCAUAUAUCAAUCUGUGAAUCCACCAGAAGAGGUAUUGGCAUGGUCAAUCUUAUAAGAUUCCAAACAGUUACUAUCAUCCUUUCAAUAUACGUCACUGUCGGAUGUACCUAUUUUCGUUUGAAGUAUAUAAACCUUAUAAGACACUUAAACAUUAUCGGCCUUACUAGUACUAACUUAAAGUAGAUGUGUAAGUAUUAUAUACAUGUAACAUUUACUGGUACAAACUUGCACAUACACAAGUUCAUGUCAGUGGCUAAUGACAAAAUGUCAAUUUACCAUAGAGGUCUGGAGACCAACAUCGAUAGCAACUCGUCUGACUAUUACAGGAGAUUUCAAAAUACGGAAAAUAUGGACUUUAAUGAGCAAAUGAGUCAACGUCAAACAUUUUGGGAAAAAAAUAGAAAUUUACUUUUUCUCGUUGCUGGAUUGGUGGUAGGAUGUUUUGUGACUGUGAUCAUAAGUUAUGCUUUCUUUUCUCUUGGGCAGAAUAAGGGACAUGGAAAUUGCCAGCCGUAUGGUAAGAAAU